AGAUUAGAGUUUGAUCAUGGCUCAGAUUGAACGCUGGCGGCAGGCUUAACACAUGCAAGUCGAGCGGUAGCACAGGGGAGCUUGCUCCCCGGGUGACGAGCGGCGGACGGGUGAGUAAUGUCUGGGUAACUGCCUGAUGGAGGGGGAUAACUACUGGAAACGGUAGCUAAUACCGCAUAACGUCGCAAGACCAAAGAGGGGGACCUUCGGGCCUCUUGCCAUCAGAUGUGCCCAGAUGGGAUUAGCUAGUAGGUGGGGUAAUGGCUCACCUAGGCGACGAUCCCUAGCUGGUCUGAGAGGAUGACCAGCCACACUGGAACUGAGACACGGUCCAGACUCCUACGGGAGGCAGCAGUGGGGAAUAUUGCACAAUGGGCGCAAGCCUGAUGCAGCCAUGCCGCGUGUGUGAAGAAGGCCUUCGGGUUGUAAAGCACUUUCAGCGAGGAGGAAGGUGGUGAACUUAAUACGUUCAUCAAUUGACGUUACUCGCAGAAGAAGCACCGGCUAACUCCGUGCCAGCAGCCGCGGUAAUACGGAGGGUGCAAGCGUUAAUCGGAAUUACUGGGCGUAAAGCGCACGCA
RNAcentral lists this ribosomal RNA (581 nucleotides) under uncultured Serratia sp. Its description in RNAcentral is "bacterial SSU rRNA". It matches the Rfam family "Bacterial small subunit ribosomal RNA", at positions 1 to 573 of the family's 1533-position model. The record is from RNAcentral. Lineage: Bacteria; Pseudomonadati; Pseudomonadota; Gammaproteobacteria; Enterobacterales; Yersiniaceae.